UAGUCCACGCCGUAAACGAUGGACACUAGUUGUCGGGAAGCUUGACUUUUCGGUGACGGAGCUAACGCAUUAAGUGUCCCGCCUGGGGAGUACGUCCGCAAGGAUGAAACCCAAAGGAAUUGACGGGGGCCCGCACAAGCGGUGGAGCAUGUGCUUUAAUUCGAUGCAACGCGAAGAACCUUACCUGGUCUUGACAUGGUACUGCCCGUCCUAGAGAUAGGAUUUUAUCUUCGGAUACGGUACACACAGGUGCUGCAUGGUUGUCGUCAGCUCGUGUCGUGAGAUGUUGGGUUAAGUCCCGCAACGAGCGCAACCCCUACUCUUAGUUGCCAGCACAUAAUGGUGGGAACUCUAAGGGGACUGCCCCGGCUAACGGGGAGGAAGGUGGGGACGACGUCAAGUCAUCAUGGCCCUUACGUCCAGGGCUACACACGUGCUACAAUGGCCGGUACAACGGGCAGCUAGACAGUGAUGUUCAGCGAAUCCCUUAAAACCGGUCUCAGUUCGGA
This 509-nucleotide ribosomal RNA is filed under the name uncultured bacterium. RNAcentral's name for it is "bacterial SSU rRNA". It matches the Rfam family "Bacterial small subunit ribosomal RNA", at positions 791 to 1297 of the family's 1533-position model. The record is from RNAcentral.